GACGAACGCUGGCGGCGUGCUUAACACAUGCAAGUCGAACGGUGAAGCGCCUUCCUUUUUGGUGGGUGUGGAUGAGUGGCGAAGGGGUGAGUAACACGUUAGUAACCUGCCCCCUCCUGCUGGAUAACCGCAUGAAAGUGUGGCUAAUACGGGAUAUUCUGGGUCUGUCGCAUGAUGGGUCUGGGACAGAUUUUGUUUCGGUGGUGGAUGGGCUCGCGCCCCAUCAGCUUGUUGGUGGGGUGAUGGCCUACCAAGGCGGCGAUGAGUAGCCGGCCUGAGAGGAUGGUCGACGGUCACAGUAGUGAGGCGACGCGGAGACUACUACGACGGGCAGCAGCAGGGGAGAAUAUUGCAUGAGGGGAGGAAGGAUGAUGCAGCGACGCGGCGUGGAGGAUGGUGGUCGGCGGGUUAAGAACCUCUUUCGGGAGUGAAGCAAGGCUGCCUCGUUUGUGGGUGGGUUGACGGUAGCUGGAUAAGAAGCGCCGGCUAACUACGUG
Molecule: ribosomal RNA, 497 nt
Filed under: uncultured bacterium
Lineage: Bacteria
Description: partial 16S ribosomal RNA
Rfam family: Bacterial small subunit ribosomal RNA
Source: RNAcentral